GACGAACGCUGGCGGCGUGCCUAAUACAUGCAAGUCGAACGCUUCUUAUUCACCGAGUGCUUGCACUCAUCGAAUAAGAAGAGUGGCGGACGGGUGAGUAACACGUGGGUAACCUGCCCAUUAGAGGGGACAACACUUGGAAACAGGUGCUAAUACCGCAUAAUUCUUUUAACCGCAUGGUUGAAAGAUGAAAGACGCUUUCGGGUGUCACUAAUGGAUGGACCCGCGGUGCAUUAGUUAGUUGGGUAGGGGUAAUGGGCCUACCAAGACCGUGAUGCAUAGCCCGACCUGAGAGGGGUGAUCGGGGCCACACUGGGGGACUGGAGACACGGGGCCCAGACUCCUACGGGGGAGGCAGCAGUAGGGGGAUCUUCGGGCAA
Molecule: ribosomal RNA, 380 nt
Filed under: uncultured Enterococcaceae bacterium
Lineage: Bacteria; Bacillati; Bacillota; Bacilli; Lactobacillales; Enterococcaceae
Description: bacterial SSU rRNA
Rfam family: Bacterial small subunit ribosomal RNA
Source: RNAcentral